Molecule: ribosomal RNA, 465 nt
Filed under: Vreelandella stevensii
Lineage: Bacteria; Pseudomonadati; Pseudomonadota; Gammaproteobacteria; Oceanospirillales; Halomonadaceae
Description: partial 16S ribosomal RNA
Rfam family: Bacterial small subunit ribosomal RNA
Source: RNAcentral
CCUACGGGAGGCAGCAGUGGGGAAUAUUGGACAAUGGGCGAAAGUCUGAUCCAGCCAUGCCGCGUGUGUGAAGAAGGCCUUCGGGUUGUAAAGCACUUUCAGUGGGGAAGAAAGCCUUGGGGCUAAUACCCUCGAGGAAGGACAUCACCCACAGAAGAAGCACCGGCUAACUCCGUGCCAGCAGCCGCGGUAAUACGGAGGGUGCGAGCGUUAAUCGGAAUUACUGGGCGUAAAGCGCGCGUAGGCGGUCUGAUAAGCCGGUUGUGAAAGCCCCGGGCUCAACCUGGGAACGGCAUCCGGAACUGUCAGGCUAGAGUGCAGGAGAGGAAGGUAGAAUUCCCGGUGUAGCGGUGAAAUGCGUAGAGAUCGGGAGGAAUACCAGUGGCGAAGGCGGCCUUCUGGACUGACACUGACGCUGAGGUGCGAAAGCGUGGGUAGCAAACAGGAUUAGAUACCCGAGUAGUC